Molecule: ribosomal RNA, 403 nt
Filed under: bacterium
Lineage: Bacteria
Description: partial 16S ribosomal RNA
Rfam family: Bacterial small subunit ribosomal RNA
Source: RNAcentral
UGGGGAAUAUUGCACAAUGGGGGAAACCCUGAUGCAGCGACGCCGCGUGAACGAAGAAGGUAUUCGUAUCGUAAAGUUCGGUCCUAUGGGAAGAUAAUGACAGUACCAUAGAAGAAAGCUCCGGCUAAAUACGUGCCAGCAGCCGCGGUAAUACGUAUGGAGCGAGCGUUGUCCGGAAUUAUUGGGCGUAAAGGGUACGCAGGCGGUUUAAUAAGUCGAAUGUUAAAGAUCGGGGCUCAACCCCGCAAAGCAUUGGAAACUGCUAAACUUGAGUAGUGGAGAGGAGAGUGGAAUUCCUCGUGUAGUGGUGAAAUACGUAGAUAUUAGGAGGAAUACCAGUAGCGAAGGCGACUUUCUGGACACACACUGACGCUGAGGUACGAAAGCGUGUGGAGCAAACAGG